UAUAAAGAUAUGAAAAAUAAAUCCUCUUUUGCAACCCAGAACUCAUCAUUCAGUAUGAGUUUUGAAACAUACAAGAAGGAACAUG
Molecule: non-coding RNA, 85 nt
Organism: Pteropus alecto (black flying fox)
Lineage: Eukaryota; Metazoa; Chordata; Mammalia; Chiroptera; Pteropodidae
Source: Rfam